Mangifera indica (mango) is the source of this 2231-nucleotide RNA transcript. It is a transcript of the gene named pentatricopeptide repeat-containing protein At1g12775, mitochondrial-like, with no coding region annotated. The record is from RefSeq and is a predicted model, not a curated record. The transcript has 3 exons. Lineage: Eukaryota; Viridiplantae; Streptophyta; Magnoliopsida; Sapindales; Anacardiaceae.
AUCUUUCAAUGUUAGAUUUUCAUCUUCAUCUAUUCUUUCUUCAGUUUCCCAAAAUCAACACACCAAAUCACCACCCAAACACAUCUCCACUCUUAAGCACCAUUCUCAACUUUAUAAUUUCCUUCGUGUAAACUGCAGGUCAGGUAACUUUUCUCUUGAUGAAGCUUUUGAUUCCUUCAAUUAUAUGAUUCAUAUGCACCCAACUCCUGCUAUGUCUUCCUUCAGUAUUUUGUUUUCUGCACUUGUUAAGAAAAAACAUUUUGAUCAACUUCUUGUGAUGUACACGAGAUUCAUUUCAGCUGGGUUGUUGCCGGAUUUCAUUAUUUUGAAUAUUUUAAUUGAUUGCUUAAGCAAAAUGGCACGCGAUUCUGAUGGUUUUGUUGUUCUUGGGAGUAUUUUUAGGAGGGUUUUUACCCAAACGCUUUGACUUUUAACAAUCUGAUUAAUGGUCUUUGUAUGGCGGGCAAGAUUAAGAAGGCCAUUGAAUUUUUUAGGAAAAUGGUUUCGGUUGGUUGUAGACCGGAUGUGGUUACAGUUGGGACUUUGAUUACUGGGUUGUGUAGAACUGGUAAUGUCACUGUUGCCCUUCAGUUGUUUGAAGAAAUGAAUAACGGGAAUGGUGAAUUUGGUGUCAUUUGUAAGCCUAAUAUUGUUUGCUAUACUACAAUUAUUGAUGGUCUUUGCAAAUAUGGGUUAGUAGACAAGGCAAAGAAACUGUUUUCAGAAAUGAAGACCAAGGGCAUUAAUCCAGACGUGAUUACUUACACCACUCUAAUUUAUGGUUUGUGUAAUACAUCUAAUUGGGAGGAGGCUAAAACUUUGUUUAUAGAGAUGUUGGAGGAAGGUGUAAAACCUAAUGUGGUGACAUUUAGCGUGGUAAUUGAUAAGCUCUGUAUCAAUGGAAAGAUGGACGAAGCCAAUGGGUUGUUCCAACUAAUGAUUAAUAGAGGUGUUUGUCCCAACACAAUAACUUAUAACACACUUUUGAGUGGUUUUUGCUUGGCAGGUCAAAUUGAUGAUGCUAGAAGGCUAUUUGAUUCCAUGGCAAGUAUGGGGUGUAAGCCUGAUGUUUUUAGCUACAAUAUUUUGAUGAAUGGUUUAUGCUUGACAAAUAAAAUUGAUGAUGCCAAGGAACUUUUAGCCUCAAUGUUGAGUAUGGGAUGCACACCUGAUGUAGUUAGCUACAAUACUCUGAUCAAAUGGUAUUGCAAGAGUCGAAAAAUUGAUGAAGCCUUGAAUCUUUAUGAGGAAAUGACUUCAGAGGGAGUUAGGCCAGAUGUUGUUGCUUAUAAUACCUUGCUAUCUGGGCUUUUUAUGAACGGUAAUGUCAGACAUGCAAAAAAGCUAUUUGGGAGACUCAAUAUUGCUUGGGAAAUGUUCAACAGAUUACAUAGUAAUGGCUUUGUUCCAGAUGUUAUUACAUAUAACAUUAUAAUGCAUGGAUUUUGUAAGGAAGGAAAGUUAGAAAUGGCAAGUAAAUGUUUCUCAGAUAUGGAGCAAAAUGGUGUUGCGCCAGAUUUGGUCACUUUCAAUACGCUUAUGUCUGGUUUCUUGCAGAAUAAUGAGACUUUAAAAGUGGUGGAACUUCUUCACAAAAUGAAAGAGAGAAUUGUGAAACCAGAUGCAUCCAUAGGUUCAACAAUAUUAGAUUUACUGGGAAAGCAUGAAGAUUAUCGUGAAGUCCUGAAUUUGCUACCAUCGUUUUCAACCCAAGAACCAACAGGAUGUUGAUUGUUGAGUAAGUGCAUUUUCCAGGGGAGUAUAGCUUAUCAAGAGAGCCCUGGCAAACGUUAAAGUUUCCGUGUAAAGGAAAAUACUGACGAAGAUGCUCGUAAGGUUGUAGAUGGUUUAGCACCUAAGGCCACUGAUCAAAAUGAUGCUAUUGAGAAAUGGUAUGAACAUUAAUGUCUCAUCUGUGUGCUCUUAGUGCUACUUGUAAUAUACAUACAUAAAUAUAGUCUCUACAUUUUUUCGUUUUUACCAAUCAAUGUUAGUGGGAAUCUUUAUUUCUUUGGAGAGAUGAAUCCCCUUGAUGAAGUCUCUAGUAAGAAGUUGGUGGUAGCUGAUGCUAAGUUGAACUUGGAUGAUGAUGCUGCCUUCCUGGUAGAAGGGAAUCUCUCUUGUGAUCCAUCACUAGAGGGUCCUUGAGAGGUUUCGAUACAUUUACUUCUCGAUUUAUUGUUUACGUGGAAUAAUUAUUCUUAAUAGUAACUGCCAAACAAGUACACGAA